This is a long non-coding RNA of Carassius gibelio (silver crucian carp), 4245 nucleotides long. RefSeq lists it as uncharacterized. The transcript has 3 exons. The record is from RefSeq and is a predicted model, not a curated record. NCBI's taxonomy places the organism in Eukaryota, Metazoa, Chordata, Actinopteri, Cypriniformes, Cyprinidae.
UGUACCGAGUUUGGUUUCGAUUGAUCAAAGUUUGGCCGAGAUACAGCAUCUCAACCGAUUUUAGGUCAGCCUCAGUAAGUUCACAGCAUCAUAACUUUUUUUUUCACUAGUGUUCAAAAAAUUCUGUUCAGUCAUUUCUGUGCGGCUCAGUCCAAAGAACAUCUGAGCCAAAUUUCAGAAGAAUUGGACCAAUUUUGAAGGAGGAGUAGUGUUUAGACUGAAUACUGUACUUUUCAAAAUGGCCGCCACUGUAAUGGGCGGAGUCUUAAUGUAAGAUAUGGAAUGGAAUCUCCAUGAAGAGACAAAAUAGAUGUACUAAGUUUUAUUUUCAUAGAAUUAGUGGUUCAAGAGUUAUUAACGUUUGAAUGUUGAAUUUUUGGACUGCUGGUGGCGCUAUAGAGUUUGGCCUAGAGACCCCAAAGUUGGUCAGAUCUCUAAUAAUGACCAGUUCUACAAGUGUGCCAAAUUUCAUCAUUUUCCCAUGUUUCCUUCAUAGGGCUGCCAUAGACUCCCAUUGGAGAGGAAGAAGAAGAAGAAUAAUAAUAAUUAAAGCUGCAAGCAGCCUUUCUGGGGCCAAGCCCUUAUUGCUCUUUGGCUUUUAAGGUUUUUUCAAGCAACUUUUUCAGCACUUUUUACAGAACAGAUAGAUUCAGAAUUACAGAUAAGGUGAAAUCAGAAGGUCUGAUGAGAACGAACGCAGAAUGAAGUUACAAAAACACACUUAUUUUUGAUCCCAUUUUAAGAAACUUUAGUACAGCUCUUAACCAUGUAAUAAAGGAAUUGAAAUGACAACUUUAUACCCAAUUUUAAAUUUUUCCCAUACAGGUUUCGAACCCACAACCUCACAGGUUCAGAACCAACGCCUUAGCUAAGUGCGCCACAUUAGUUGACACACAAUUUACAUGGCACAGAAGAGAGGUCAAGGUGUGAGAAUGAUCUCUCACAAGCCCGAAGUAGCAUUUUAGCCAGAUUAGCAUGCUACGCUAAAAAAUGCUAACAUUGUCAAAGUUAACCAGAUUGCUCAAGAGACCCAUUAGAGUGAAUAGAAAAGUGUUAGCAUUUUAGUUAAUUAGCAUGCUAAGCUAAUUAGCAUAAAUCAACAAACACAGGCACGGUCAACUUCGGAGCUGUACAUCUCUGGAACGGGAACGAAUAUCAAAAAUCCGUUCUGUCAUUUCUGUCAGGCCCGUUCUGAAGUUCAUCUGAUAAAACUUUUAACAAAAUUGAACAAGAUUUCAGGGAGGAGUAGUGAAAAAACUGUAUUUCAUUCCAUUCAAUAUGGCGGACAGACGCCAUGUUGGAAAAUGACAAUUGAGACAUCCUCAGAAUCGGCAUAACCAAAGGAAUAAAAUGACAUAAAAAUAACAAAAAUCGAUCAACAUUUACAGUAGUUAUAAGGGGUUUUGCAAGAAUCGUUAUAUCUCUUGAACACUAGGUGGCGCUGUCUUCUAACUUCCGGGGUACCUCAGGCACAUGGUGUUGAUGAUGCCUAUCGAUUUUUGUGAAGAUAUGUACAAUAGAUCAAAAGAUAUAGCAAUUUAUGACAAAAUUCAAAAUGGCGGACGGGUGGUCCUGGUGGUCUCGACAAAAUUGACAUCCACAGAUCCGGAAUGAUCUAAAGAAUCCAUAGACAUCAAGAUUAUAAUUUUCUGAUGAAUUGUUCAGAAGUUAUAAGCAAAAAAGUGCAUUUUUGGUAUCUCAACACCCAUAGGUGGCGCUGUUCCCAAAUUUGGCGUGGACCCCCAGAUCAUGGUGUAGAUGAAGUGUACCAAGUUUGGUAUCGAUUGAUCAAAGUUUGGCCGAGAUACAGCAUCUCAACCGAUUUUAGGUCAACCUCAGUAAGUUCACAGCAUCAUAACUUUUUUUUUCACUAGUGUUCAAAAAAUUCUGUUCAGUCAUUUCUGUGCGGUUCAGUCCAAAGAACAUCUGAGCCAAAUUUCAGAAGAAUUGGACCAAUUUUGAAGGAGGAGUAGUGUUUAGACUGAAUACUGUACUUUUCAAAAUGGCCGCUACUGUAAUGGGCGGAGUCUUAAUGUAAGAUAUGGAAUGGAAUCUCCAUGAAGAGACAAAACAGAUGUACUAAGUUUUAUUUUCAUAGAAUUAGUGGUUCAAGAGUUAUUAACGUUUGAAUGUUGAAUUUUUGAACUGGUGGUGGCGCUGUAGAGUUGGUCCUAGAGACCCCAAAGUUGGUCAGAUCACUAAUAAUGGUCAUCUCUACAAGUGUGCCAAAUUUCAUCAUUUUCCCAUGUUCCCUUCAUAGGGCUGCCAUAGACUCCCAUUGGACGAAAAUAAUAAUAAUAAUAAUAAAACGUACAGAUACAAUAGGGGCUACAGCCCUCUGGGCUUGGCCCCUAAAUAUAGCUGCAAGCAGCGAUACCGGGGCCAAGCCCUGAAGGGCUGUAGCCAGAGCAACGAGCGGGACGAAGCAAAACGGCCGAAACGGUACGCACGUCAGGACAACCGAUCGGUUCAGAAGUAGAGAAGUUUGAAAUUGAACAGAACUUUAGAUGAGAAAGACCAAAAACACAUUUUUGAUUCAAGGCAAACACACUCAGAAAAUCCAACGACUUGAACAGAAGCAACAUUAACUGCCAUUGAUCCAAACCCAUGAACUCAGAAACAACAUUAACUGUCCUGGAUUCGAACCCAUGACCUCAGAAUCUCUGAACCAGGGGCUUAACAUACUGCACCACUGAGUCUUUACACAUCCAGUGAGCUGCAGAAGAAAGGUUAAGGUGUGAGGAUGAGGUCACUAAAGAAAGUUACCUAGCAUUUUAAGGUAGUUUAGUCAAUCCUGGCAAAAUUUACAUCCAUAGAUUCGGCAUGAUGCGAGGAAUAGACAGAGACCAAUAUCCUGAUUUUCUAACUAAUUGUUGAAAAGUUAUAAGCAGAAACGUGAAUUUUUGGUAUCUCACGACCCAUAGGUGGCGCUGUUCCCAACUUUGGGAUAUAUUAUCAGUUCAUAGUGUUGAUGAAGUGUAGCGAGUUUUGUUACGAUUGAUCAAAGUACGGCCGAGAUAUAGCCUCUCAUACAAUUUCGAUUCAACACUGUUAACUUCAGAGCAUCAUAACUUUUUUUUUGACCAGUAGGUCGAACAAUUCUGUUCAGUCAUUUCCGUGCGGCUCAGUCCAAAGAUCGUCUGAAGAAAUUUUGAGAAGAAUUGGGCCACAUUUGAAGGAGGAGUAGCGAAAAAACGGAAUACUGUACUUUUCUUAAUGGCCUUCACUGUUAUGGCAGGAAUUUUAAUGUACACUAUUCAAUGUGAUCAGCGUGAAGAGAGGAAUCAGGUGUACUAAGUUUUAUGUUGAUAGAAGAAGGUGUUCAAAAGUUAUAAGGAAAAAUGUGCAUUUAUGCUAUAUCAUGACCCAUAGGUGGCGCUGUGCCUAAAUUCGGCAUGAACCCUCAGAUCAUGGUGUUGAUGAAGUGUAUCAAGUUUGGUUUCGAUUGAUCAAUGUUUGGCCGAGAUACAGCCUCUUAACCGAUUUUGGGUCGACCUUGUUAUGUUCACAAUUGAAUAACUUUUGAACAAAGACGAAUAUCAAAAAUCUGUUCAGUCAUUUCUGUGCGGCUCGGUCCGAAGAUCGUCUGUGGCAAAUUUCAGAAAAAUCAAACCACUUUUGAAGGAGGAGUAGCGUUUAAACGGAAACACUUAAUUAGCUUAAUAGCAAUUACUGUAAUGGGUGGAGUCUUAAUGUAAGGUAUAGAGUGUAAUCUCCAUGAAGAGAGUAAUCAUGUGUACUAAGUCGUAUCUGGAUAGACCAAAGGGUUCAUGAGUUAUUAAAGUUUAAAAACUGAAUUUUUGAACUGGUGGUGGCGCUGUAGAGUUGGUCUUAGAGACUCCAAAGUUGGUCAGAUCACUAUUGGUGACCAUCUCUAGAAGUGUGCCAAAUUUCAUCAUUUUCCCAUGUUCCCUUCAUAGGGCUAGCAUAGUGAUCGAUUGUUUUUGCUCGAAAAUUCUACCAAAAACAAUCGCUAAUAUAGCUGCAAGCAGCGAUACCGGGGCCAAGCCCUGAAGGGCUGUAGCCAGAGCAACGAGCGGGACGAAGCAAAAUGGCCAAAACGGUACGCACGUCAGGACAACCGAUCGGUUCAGAAGUAGAGAAGUUUGAAAUUGAACAGAACUUUAGAUGAGAAAGACCAAAAACACAUUUUUGAUUCAAGGCAAACACACUCAGGAAAUUCAAAUGCUUGAACAGAAUCAACAUUAACUGCCCUUGAUCCAAACCCAUAUACACAGAAACAAC